RNAcentral lists this ribosomal RNA (618 nucleotides) under Escherichia coli. RNAcentral describes it as "partial 23S ribosomal RNA". It matches the Rfam family "Bacterial large subunit ribosomal RNA", at positions 2313 to 2925 of the family's 2925-position model. RNAcentral also lists the same sequence under 1 other name. Lineage: Bacteria; Pseudomonadati; Pseudomonadota; Gammaproteobacteria; Enterobacterales; Enterobacteriaceae. The record is from RNAcentral.
AAGGUUGGCUAAUCCUGGUCGGACAUCAGGAGGUUAGUGCAAUGGCAUAAGCCAGCUUGACUGCGAGCGUGACGGCGCGAGCAGGUGCGAAAGCAGGUCAUAGUGAUCCGGUGGUUCUGAAUGGAAGGGCCAUCGCUCAACGGAUAAAAGGUACUCCGGGGAUAACAGGCUGAUACCGCCCAAGAGUUCAUAUCGACGGCGGUGUUUGGCACCUCGAUGUCGGCUCAUCACAUCCUGGGGCUGAAGUAGGUCCCAAGGGUAUGGCUGUUCGCCAUUUAAAGUGGUACGCGAGCUGGGUUUAGAACGUCGUGAGACAGUUCGGUCCCUAUCUGCCGUGGGCGCUGGAGAACUGAGGGGGGCUGCUCCUAGUACGAGAGGACCGGAGUGGACGCAUCACUGGUGUUCGGGUUGUCAUGCCAAUGGCACUGCCCGGUAGCUAAAUGCGGAAGAGAUAAGUGCUGAAAGCAUCUAAGCACGAAACUUGCCCCGAGAUGAGUUCUCCCUGACCCUUUAAGGGUCCUGAAGGAACGUUGAAGACGACGACGUUGAUAGGCCGGGUGUGUAAGCGCAGCGAUGCGUUGAGCUAACCGGUACUAAUGAACCGUGAGGCUUAACCUU